UGGUGGAGUGAUUUGUCUGGUUAAUUCCGAUAACGAACGAGACCGCAACUUAUUAAAUAGUGGGCCUGAUAGUCUAAUCGGGUGAAAGCGCCUUGGAACUCGGCGUCCUUUAACCGGGAUUGCUGGGCUGAGGUGUCGGAUCCUUGACUUUAUUGGGUUAUCCGCUUCUUAAAGGGACUAUUUGCGUUUAGUAAAUGGAAGUGCGGCAAUAACA
Molecule: ribosomal RNA, 214 nt
Filed under: uncultured eukaryote
Lineage: Eukaryota
Description: partial 18S ribosomal RNA
Rfam family: Eukaryotic small subunit ribosomal RNA
Source: RNAcentral